AACGAACGCUGGCGGCAUGCCUAACACAUGCAAGUCGAACGAGACCUUCGGGUCUAGUGGCGCACGGGUGCGUAACGCGUGGGAACCUGCCCUUAGGUUCGGAAUAACUCCCCGAAAGGGGUGCUAAUACCGGAUAAUGUCUUCGGACCAAAGAUUUAUCGCCUUUGGAUGGGCCCGCGUUGGAUUAGCUAGUUGGUAGGGUAAAAGCCUACCAAGGCGACGAUCCAUAGCUGGUCUGAGAGGAUGAUCAGCCACACUGGGACUGAGACACGGCCCAGACUCCUACGGGAAGCAGCAGUGGGGAAUAUUGGACAAUGGGCGAAAGCCUGAUCCAGCAAUGCCGCGUGAGUGAUGAAGGCCUUAGGGUUGCAAAGCUCUUUUACCCGGGAUGAUAAUGACAGUACCGGGAGAAUAAGCGCCGGCUAACUCCGUG
Molecule: ribosomal RNA, 433 nt
Filed under: uncultured bacterium
Lineage: Bacteria
Description: partial 16S ribosomal RNA
Rfam family: Bacterial small subunit ribosomal RNA
Source: RNAcentral